AUCCCUUUCCUCUGGCCACAGUGAAAGAUCUGAGUGGGAGGAAGACCUUCACAGGCCUGCACCACAGUCCACCUAGGCACAUUCCAGACAAAUGGCACAGUCCUGCGAUCCAGAGCAGGAUCCAAAACAGUCAACAAGGACUGCUCAGCCAGGGACCUCUGCCUCAUAGCCCCCUGUGAGCAGAGAGAAUGACACAUGUGUGCACAUCAUGUCCAGCCAACAAGAUUGCAGAGCAUUCCUUCGUGGCUGGUAACAUCCCACAGAUGGGUUCAUCAGGCAUGCCCUCCAUGAUGCCCUCUCCACCACUUAUGCCUCCUGCCCAGAGUACUUUCUCCAAGGCUGGAAAUGCAUCCUCUGCCUGUGAAUCUCUGUCUCUUGGCCUCAUCCCCAGCAUCUAUCUUCCUGGCCUUGAGAGGAGAGUAAUUACCGGGAUGUGGACAGCCUCCAGAGACUUCUUCUGGCGUGGAGGAGAAAGUGAAAUCCCUCCAGUUCUGGACUAUGUGAGAGAUAUCCCAGAAUCUUCAGCUGUUCUGCUGUGUUUGAUGUCCAAGGCCCCAUGGUGA
RNAcentral lists this long non-coding RNA (563 nucleotides) under Felis catus (domestic cat). RNAcentral describes it as "lncRNA (ENSFCAG00000051446.1)". The record is from RNAcentral. Lineage: Eukaryota; Metazoa; Chordata; Mammalia; Carnivora; Felidae.